UACGUAGGGUGCCAGCGUUGUCCGGAAUUAUUGGGCGUAAAGAGCUUGUAGGCGGUUUGUCGCGUCUGCUGUGAAAUUUCGGGGCUCAACCCCGAACUUGCAGUGGGUACGGGCAGACUAGAGUGUGGUAGGGGAGACUGGAAUUCCUGGUGUAGCGGUGAAAUGCGCAGAUAUCAGGAGGAACACCGAUGGCGAAGGCAGGUCUCUGGGCCAUAACUGACGCUGAGAAGCGAAAGCAUGGGGAGCGAACAGG
RNAcentral lists this ribosomal RNA (253 nucleotides) under uncultured bacterium. RNAcentral describes it as "partial 16S ribosomal RNA". It matches the Rfam family "Bacterial small subunit ribosomal RNA", at positions 524 to 776 of the family's 1533-position model. The record is from RNAcentral.